UACCAGCACCCCGAGUGGUCGGGACGAUUAUUGGGCCUAAAGCAUCCGUAGCCGGUCCUACAAGUCUUCCGUUAAAUCCACCUGCUUAACAGAUGGGCUGCGGAAGAUACUAUAGGGCUAGGAGGCGGGAGAGGCAAGCGGUACUCAGUGGGUAGGGGUAAAAUCCUCUGAUCCAUUGAAGACCACCAGUGGCGAAGGCGGCUCGCCAGAACGCGCUCGACGGUGAGGGAUGAAAGCUGGGGGAGCAAACCGG
RNAcentral lists this ribosomal RNA (253 nucleotides) under uncultured bacterium. RNAcentral's name for it is "partial 16S ribosomal RNA". It matches the Rfam family "Archaeal small subunit ribosomal RNA", at positions 474 to 727 of the family's 1478-position model. The record is from RNAcentral.